This 69-nucleotide transfer RNA is filed under the name Sarcophilus harrisii (Tasmanian devil). It matches the Rfam family "tRNA". From Rfam's summary of the family: Transfer RNA (tRNA) molecules are approximately 80 nucleotides in length. The record is from Rfam by way of RNAcentral. Lineage: Eukaryota; Metazoa; Chordata; Mammalia; Dasyuromorphia; Dasyuridae.
AGUAAAAUGGCUGAGUGAAAGCUUUGGAUUGUAAAUUCAAAGGCAGAGAUUAAAUAACUCUUUUUACCA